RNAcentral lists this ribosomal RNA (444 nucleotides) under uncultured Ruminococcus sp. RNAcentral describes it as "bacterial SSU rRNA". It matches the Rfam family "Bacterial small subunit ribosomal RNA", at positions 337 to 798 of the family's 1533-position model. Lineage: Bacteria; Bacillati; Bacillota; Clostridia; Eubacteriales; Oscillospiraceae. The record is from RNAcentral.
UCCUACGGGAGGCUGCAGUGGGGGAUAUUGCACAAUGGAGGAAACUCUGAUGCAGCAACGCCGCGUGAGGGAAGAAGGUCUUCGGAUUGUAAACCUUUGUCCUCGGUGACGAUAAUGACGGUAGCCGAGGAGGAAGCUCCGGCUAACUACGUGCCAGCAGCCGCGGUAAUACGUAGGGAGCGAGCGUUGUCCGGAUUUACUGGGUGUAAAGGGUGCGUAGGCGGCUCUGCAAGUCAGGUGUGAAAACUAUCGGCUCAACUGAUAGACUGCAUUUGAAACUGUGGAGCUUGAGUGAAGUAGAGGCAGAUGGAAUUCCCGGUGUAGCGGUGAAAUGCGUAGAGAUCGGGAGGAACACCAGUGGCGAAGGCGAUCUGCUGGGCUUUAACUGACGCUGAGGCACGAAAGCAUGGGUAGCAAACAGGAUUAGAUACCCUGGUAGUCAAC